GUACAAAUCAAACAUCACUCCUGAACCCUGCUAUGAAAAUGAACUCUAUCAUCUGGUCGAAGUAAAACUCACUGCACAAGACUUCUACUGUGAUUCUGAAGGCAACAGUAUGGUCUUGAUUCAUCUACCUCCGGAACUCAAGCAUUUGUACCGUCAUUGGGACACUGCCAUUCCACAUGUCCCUGUGACCAAGUUGAAAACAAUAUCAUGGAAUGAUCUUGGGC
Non-coding RNA from Pelobates cultripes (western spadefoot toad), 224 nucleotides. Lineage: Eukaryota; Metazoa; Chordata; Amphibia; Anura; Pelobatidae. The record is from the annotation of a GenBank genome assembly.